This 910-nucleotide unclassified non-coding RNA is filed under the name Hevea brasiliensis (rubber tree). The record is from RNAcentral. Lineage: Eukaryota; Viridiplantae; Streptophyta; Magnoliopsida; Malpighiales; Euphorbiaceae.
CUCCUAUAAAUACUAGCAUUGAUUACAAAGCCAACCCCAACUCCUUCCUACAAAAUACAUUCAUUUACAAAUAAUGUUUCUCUUGUGCUCCUCACUGCCAACCUAUUAACAGACAGAAAGGGAAAAAAUAAAAUAGAAUUUCUCAUUAACAGUCAAUGGUCAAAUAUUCAUGGAAAUAUUUCUCCCUCCUCUUCCUCCCCAUUUAGUACCAUUUCAUCCUCAUCCCAAAUAUCAUCCUUUAUAAACAAACCCAACCGCUCCAGUGGGCUCCUCGAGUAAGCUCCAAUGCGAAAAUUAUAUGAUAGGGAACCCCCACAAAGCAUCUCAAGUUCUUUUAGAAUCUCCAGGUUCUGCUCAAUGUUGACAGUUUUUCCCAUCUUCUGCAAUGCAACUCGAGCUGCUUCUCUUUCUCUCUCCCUAUGUAUUUUCAAUUCCAGUUCUUCCCUCUUUUGUGAGGCAGCUUCAGCAGCUCUCAUUUGGGCUUCAAUCGAAGCCUUCACGCUGCCUCCUUUCCAAUCUUUCCUUCUCCUGCUGCAUCUUCACAGGAUCAGCCUUAUCACCAUGAUCUAGAAGUGUCUUAUGCUGUGCUUUUAAGAUAGUAUCUGCAAAUCGAUACUUUAGCAUUGCAGCGCGAAGGGCCUUUGUUGGAGACAGUUGUACAUCACAAGUAGGUCUCCAUCCUUCUCGAGAAGUUGCGUCUGUUGCAGGAGUUAUGAGCUGUAAACUAGGGUAUGCAUUUUCAUCAUCCAAAGUACUUACAGCCCCAUCAGAAUCUGGAUCUGACUUGCUCAUCUGUGAAGCUGACAUGCUUUUCCCAUGAUAAUCCAGUUUUGAGGCAUCAGUGCCACAUGCAGUAUCAUCUCUGCUCAAUGACCUCUCAGAAGAUAUAUCAGAGGAAGCAUGGGUUGAG